GGGGGGGUUAGGAUAAUACUGGGUGACAAGCUAAGAAGUAUUUUUUCAGGAAAUUGAUUUUUACAUUUUUUUAUUCGAUUAGGAACUUUGCUUUUUUGAUUUUAAGUAUUUUUUAUGGUGCAAAUGCUAUUUUUUUUCACGGUGCUAUCAAUUUAUGUGCUUUAUCUGAUAUUUUGACGCGCAAGUAUUUUGAGUUACAGAAAAUUUAAAGUAUAAAUAGGAUUAACGAGUAUCCUCAUUUGGAUUUGUCUAAAUCCCUGUUUGGGUCGUUCCAUACGGAUACCCAUGUUCGGUCCAGCUAAGCAUCCAAGGAACAACCCAUGGCCAAUAGUGACAAUGAGCUCGAGAGAAUAUGGAACAGCUACGCCAUACUCAAGAUGGUUGACUGUAUAGUCAAAUGGAGAAGCGGAUUGAGUUAGUGAAAUUUCCAGAUGAAUUUCCCUAGAUUGGAAUACCCUAGGGAUUAUGAUUCCAUCGAGGUACAAAGGGUAUUGAAAUUCUCAAUCAGAAUCUACAGCCUAUAAGAGUUACCUAAAAACAGAUUGCCAAAGGAAUGAUAAUCAGAAGGUUUAUCCUUUGAUCUCGCGCAAGAAAAAUAAAAGAAUGAGAAAAAAAAAUGAGUUAAAGGGGGUUGGGAGUUGAUAUACAAUAAUCGUACGACUGAACCGUCUUCAAGAAGUACUUAAUGACGAGAGGGUAGCAAUAUCAGAGAAGUAGUACCAACCGCUUCUGCUUUGCAAGACCUUAAACUCGUGUAACAAAUUUAAAAAUAGCUGGCGGCCAUAUUGCUUUAAAAAAAAACAAUCAUUGAAUCAACAUCAGCGGGGAUCGUAAAUACGUGAGUGAAUUUUUAAGGGAUAAUUUCUUAUGGAACCACCGGGUUGGCAAGCAUGGUGGAGCCUUGGCGUAUGCUGAUAUAAGCUCUCUUGUUCUUGCUCUACUUGGACCUCUUCUUCGUCGACUACAUUCAAACUCCCUAGACCCCCGAAGUCACCGAUAAGGGUUACUCCGGUGUAAA
Molecule: long non-coding RNA, 1018 nt
Organism: Cephus cinctus (wheat stem sawfly)
Lineage: Eukaryota; Metazoa; Arthropoda; Insecta; Hymenoptera; Cephidae
Exons: 2
Source: RefSeq, a predicted model, not a curated record